RNAcentral lists this long non-coding RNA (485 nucleotides) under Dicentrarchus labrax (European seabass). RNAcentral describes it as "lncRNA (ENSDLAG00005031762.1)". The record is from RNAcentral. Lineage: Eukaryota; Metazoa; Chordata; Actinopteri; Moronidae.
CCUACAGGCUAUCUACUGCUCAGUAUAUGCGAUCUGUCUGAGCUAAUCUACAUUAAAACAACUCCUCAUUCAAUUUGCAUAGGAGCAGCAACAAAUGCAGCAUCCGUAGCUCCUGUCUCGACGCUAAGGCUAUGGGUCUACAGAGGACACAGUUCACCUGUGUAAGCUGCCAGUGUGAGAAUGAAGAUCGCUGUGAUUUUCCCGUUGCUGCUGCUGGUCUGCUCUGGAGAUUGCAAACCAACAGCCUUUUCCACAAGACAUCCUUGCUGUGCUGAGAGAGAUGGCCGCUACUUUGACUCAACAGAAGUUUGAGAUGAGAUUGCUGCAAAGAGAGAAUAAAGAACUUGCAGCAGAGCUGAAGAAGCAGGAGACUGAGGUUGACAAGCUGAAGCAGCGGCUGAAAGGUACUGUGUGGAAAUCAACAGAAAUAAAUGUAUUGACUCGAAUAUUAUUUACUGAAAACUGCUGCCAUAAUUAGUAUGUGC